GCUGAUCAUAGCACGAGUGCAAGAACCGAUAAGCGGGAUCGAUAGCUCAACGACCAGGAGGAAUGGAGUUUUCCGAGUCGGGAACAGCGCCCUCUGCUAUGUGAAGUGUUUCCCAGGCGCUGCCUGUAAUAACUUGCGCCCUCUUCUUGUCUGUGCAGCUGCAACUCUCCGUUAUGAUUGGCUCUGACUGACGGUGUCAGCUCCUCAUCCACGAUUGCGGGGAGUGUCACCAUGACAGCAGGAAGGGGCGUGUCCCAUGGCGCCGCUGUGCUGCUGCUGCGGCUCUGUGGUUUUUUUAGGUUUUGAUUUUUGUAGCGUUGGACGAGAAAAUCAAAACCUAAAGAAAAUACAGCGCUGACAGAACUUCCUGCAGGGGGCGCCAAGCACCGGGCUGCUGGACAUGAGGAGGUCUGCACACUUCCUGUGACCUUCAUCAAGUUUCAGGUUUUGUGGCUCGUUCAGCUGUGACAGUCUUGGAGGCGUCGCUGACCUUCGGCGAUCACGCCACAGCUGGAUGUUUGAGGCUGAUGUGUGCACUUCCUGUUUGUCCUUCCUCAGUAAAGCAGAGUGAAAAUAAA
This is a non-coding RNA of Neolamprologus brichardi, 578 nucleotides long. The record is from RefSeq and is a predicted model, not a curated record. Lineage: Eukaryota; Metazoa; Chordata; Actinopteri; Cichliformes; Cichlidae.